ACACUUCAAGAUCUGCUCAGUCAGUCCAGGAGUGGAGGAGCUGUGUGAGGCGCAGACACUUUACCCUGAGAGGAAGGCAGAAGAUUUCAUCAUAGGGAUUCAGCAGUUUGCUAAGCGGCUGCUUCUCUCAGCACAAGUCCCUCAAGCCUCCUCAUCAGACAGAUCAAGACCAUGCUUGGGGCCUGCACCUUUACUAAGAAGGAAGAGAACAUGGCACAUGUGGUCCAGCAGAGUUAAGAGGAAGAUUCAUGCAGCCUGGAGCCCUGCAUCAGGUUGGGAAGAAAGUCGAAUGAAUGCUGAGAUGCCAGACUGC
Long non-coding RNA from Lepus europaeus (European hare), 313 nucleotides. RefSeq lists it as uncharacterized. Lineage: Eukaryota; Metazoa; Chordata; Mammalia; Lagomorpha; Leporidae. The transcript is spliced from 3 exons. The record is from RefSeq and is a predicted model, not a curated record.